Long non-coding RNA from Homo sapiens (human), 930 nucleotides. Ensembl annotates it as long intergenic non-protein coding RNA 1905. The record is from Ensembl. Lineage: Eukaryota; Metazoa; Chordata; Mammalia; Primates; Hominidae.
AAUCAAGUGAAGCAGCUAUCACAGGGUCUGGAACAUAGUACAUCCCAGCCUUCUUGCACAUAGAAACACUACACAGCACUUCAGCUGUAUGUUUGGGGGCCAUUUUAAACAGCAAAAUCAUCAACAGGAAGCAGAAAAUUGUAAAAAUUGUGGCACUAAAUAGACCAUGUAAAGGACACAUGUUUGCAAUAAGAAAGCUGAAACAAGAAGGGGGAGUGUCACCUUAUUUGAUCCAGCUAGAAACUCAGGUGCUGGUAUUCCAGCAACACUCAGGCGGCUGCUCCAGGAGGCUGCAGAGGGGUCCUUUUUAGCCGUCAACAAAACUGGCUAUGGUCACGCCCAUUGGGAAACUCAUUGCUGCCUUCAAGUUAGGUUCUGUCAAUAGAAGAUACUAAAGAAAGAAAGCCAGGAGAAGAAAAGGGACUUCUUUCUUCAAGGUCUAAGCUGUUCUAAUAGCAUUAUUCUGGGAAUGGCAUCUUCCACUCCUCCUAGUACAAAGAACCUGCUUCCUCAUACCCCGUCAAGGAACUGCAGCAUCCAGGUGAUGGCCACAGUGGCAGAACCUAGGAAGCCAAGAAGAAACCAGAGAAUGGAGACACAUGGCAGCAAUGGCAAGUCAUCAGACCCAGGAUUUCCCAAAGAACACUGGUCCAGGAAGAUGCUCUGUGAAAAAGUGUUCCCUGGUCGGAGAAAUUUGUGAAACACUUUGCAUAAUACUUAAAAGAAUGUAUGGCACAUCAAAGAUCUUAUAACAGUCUCCGCAGGAAGCAGCUGCAGUCAUUAGCCAUAGGACAGACUAAACACACAAUCUGCAUGGAAGGAGGCCUGGAUCAGCUUGGUCUUUCAGAUCUCUAAUCUCAGGCACAGGAAAGCACCAUCAACAGCACCCUUUGUAUAUAUACAUAAAGGUAACAUAUUUUAUCAUUUAAA